AGAAGCUUGCAGUCGUGCAGUGCACAGGCACUUCUUUCUAGAAGGCGAGAGCAAUGCUCAGUCUACUGACAGGCGAGCCAGCAGACAGACAAGGAGUCUGGACAUAUUCUCGUAGCACUAACAGACGGUAACACCACCAGUGAGUCUUCUGAAGCCCGCUUUCACUUUCCUGGGUGUUAUUGCUUCUGAAUGCACAUUCAACUUGCUCUACUGCUGGCAUUGAAGACCUUCAGAUGCACUCAACCACAGGCUUACUUUUCAACCCUGCGUCAGUCUCAACCCUCAUUCCAAAGCUGUACCCACGGGAGGAGGAUACACAUGUUUUAUUGAUAGAGCUACAGGUGGUUUGAGUUUGAGCUGCUGGUGGAUUGGAUUGGAAGGGUUUUUUUGUUUUGUUUUGUUUUUGGUUUUUUUUGGUUUUUUUUACCUGUGUGGUGGCGUCUUUGGAGCGAGUAUGUUACCUAUUGUUGUGGCAUGUUUGGUAUUCAUCCUGCUGGGCUUGGGGCAGGCUCAGGUUGCCACACAGACACAGGGGCAGAGCCAGAGUCUGGGCCAUGAGCAGGACAGCGCUGCCAGCCCCUGGAGGCAGGUGAUUCAAUGGGAAAACAAUGGCCGGGUGUUUAGCUUGCUGAACAGUGGAGCUGAAUAUGUCCCUGCUGGAGCAGGGGCCCAGGACAGAGGUCCCAGGGUAGUCGUGGCAGAUGCUCGUCUGCGUUCUUCACGUAGACCUCAGGGAGGCAAUGUCCGCCGACAGGCUCCAUCAAGGGGAUCCUCUGACACUGUCCGUGGGCAGGCAAGGCAUCCUUUUGGGUUUGGGCAAGUGCCUGAUAACUGGAGACAAACUGCAGGCAGCACAGGUGGUAGCCAGUUCCAUGUAUCCUCUAGUACUCGCUUUCGGCCAUCCACAGGCUCUUCAUCUUCUUCGUCAUUAUCAUCAUCAUCAUCAUCCUUUUCUUCUUCUUCUUCUUAUAAUAUACCAUCCUACCCACAGUACCCAUUUCCACAAAUUCCAUUCCAACCCAUACCUUAUGACUCUAGUUUUGUGGAAGGACCAGUCAGGAGCUACGAGCCACCUUUUCAACCUGUUGUCGGUGGAGGAUAUGGUGGUGGAGGUCAUAGUGCUGGACGAGGGUAUACUGGAGGAGGGUAUGGGGCGGGUCUGGCCCCCGUGCUCCCAGGCUCUCCCUCUGAUUUUACUGAUGAUGGCUACCGCCACUACCAAUCUUAUGGCUAUGGGCCUAAUCCUGUGAUGCCUGCACAAGCUGCCCAACCACCUUUUACAGAUGGUCUUGACCACAGAUACACUCACAGCCUUUACAACGAAGACUCAGCUCCUGCAGUUCCUGUCCCUGAUGUCAACCAGGCUGCUCCUGUGAUAGUGGACAGGACAGGACCAGCUGGUCAACUGCCGGUCAGGAGCCCUCAGUACGAGCAAUUUCCUCCAUUUGGAAGGCCCCAACCUCCUUUCCUGCAACCCAUUCCUUCAGGCAGAAAUUCUCCAAACUCUGCACUUGAGAACCCAAAUAUGAAUGUCGGGAGUGUGUACCGACCGGAACAGAGAGGUUUGCCUGACCUGGUUCCUGAUCCCAACUAUGUCCAGGCCUCCACAUACAUUCAGAGAGCUCACAUGUAUUCUCUCCGCUGUGCUGCUGAAGAAAAAUGUCUGUCAAGCACUGCCUAUGGCCCUGAGACAACUGACUAUGAUGUAAGGGUCCUGCUGCGAUUCCCACAGAGGGUGAAGAACAAGGGGAAAGCUGACUUCAUGCCUAACAGACCACGUCAUACCUGGGAGUGGCAUAGCUGUCAUCAGCACUACCACAGUAUGGAUGAGUUCAGCCAUUAUGAUUUACUGGAGGUCAGCACUGGCCGUAAAGUGGCAGAGGGGCACAAGGCUAGCUUCUGUCUGGAGGACACCACCUGUGACUUUGGUCACCUGAAGCGCUAUGCUUGUACCGCUCACACUCAGGGUCUGAGUCCAGGCUGCUAUGAUACAUACAAUGCUGACAUUGACUGUCAGUGGAUUGAUAUUACGGACAUCCAGCCUGGAAACUACAUACUAAAGCUCCAGGUCAAUCCCAAGUUCUUGGUGCUGGAAUCAGACUUUACCAACAAUGUGGUCAGGUGUAAUAUACAUUACACGGGACGGUUUGUUACAGCAACCAACUGCAAGAUAGCACAGUCCUGAUCAGGCACUGGAAGGCUGCCAUGCUAGAGUGACCCUGAUUGCUAUUCCAUUGAAAUGAAAACAGGAACAGGAAGCUCAACUGGCAGAAAAGGGUGCUUUCCAGAUAACAAGACUCACAAUAUGUAAGCUAUAUGUUUACAAUGUCUUGCAGUCUCUUCUUCAACUACCAACACUGGUCAGAUGGCACAUAGGUCAUCUAUGUCACCUUUUGAAGAAUGUAUAUACAAAUAUUCCACUGAUGCAUGACUUAAAUGAUGGCAAUUACUUUGUUUGUAACUGAUUGUACUUUGUUUAUCCAGUUUGACCUUUUACUGUAAUAUAUACACUUUUGAUAGUCUGAAUUAUUCAAUUAGUAUGUGUUGUUGGAAAAAACACUACUGCUACAGACUUAGUACUAUAAUGCAGAGCGUCACAAUGACAUCUCUACCUACCUCUCCAACUGAGUGGCCUGUUGUUUCUUGUUCAUUGUUUGGUUUCCAGCGGAACUGCAUUGCACUGUGGCCUCCCAACAUUCUGUUGCAGCACAUAGCUAAAAACCCUCAAAGUUAUUAACUGUAUCAAAGAGGACACAAUGUUAGAUGCAAACAAUCACUGACUAAUUUUUCAAAAGACUUAAAGUUAUAAUCCUUAAAAUUUCAGUCCUGGUUGGUGCAAUACUACACAACAAUCCAUGAGCAGCUACUUUUGCAGAAUUAAAGUAGAUGAGCAACUCGGAUAUACAUUUAGAGUAUAACCAAACAAACUCUUGUUUUCCAAAACAAAAGAAUUAAUUAAUUCUUGCUGAACACAGGGCGAGUAGUUUUUCACAUAAGAGGAAGGCACAGUAACAGGAGUUGGUCACAUUGAUGGAAAGCUGGAGUUGUACAGCUUGUUGCAUGGAGCUCUCCGUUAAAAGCUUAUUCUGCUGGGGCCUUCUUGUUUUAUCAGUCCUUUCAAUAUUUAAAAAGUGAUCUGCUGUCCAAAAUUGCCAUUUUCUUCCUUUGUAGAAGCACUUUUUGACAACGUUGUUAAGGCUUAUUUUGAUGACAAAAAUAUUGUAUUUCCCUGCUUUACCAUACAAGUCAGAACUGGCUGAACAUGUAAAGAGAGUUAACCAUAAUGAUGAUAUGUCUGAGAUAAAAUUACACUGGUUUGUAUGCAUGCAUUGUUUCUUCAUGUGUAGGGAGGAAAUUUAAAUCCAUUGCAGGGCUGGUGGAACCUGCCACUAACAACUGAAACUAUGAUACACAAAGAUAAUUUCUGAAUGUAAAUACAUUAAAUGGUAAUUGACAUGGCAGAGAUGCCAUCGUAAUUACAUUGAAUAAACAUUUAAAAAUUAUCAAAAAGGGGCUUCAAUAUAUGAAAAUCUUAAGAAUUAUGAUUUAUGAAUAAAUAUGUUAUAAAUAUACUAUACAGUAUACUAUAAAUAUUAUUACUGAAGUUAAACUUUUUUUGCAGUAACAAUCUCUUCUCUAUGUAUUGAUCAAAAAUGACAUUGCCGCAAAAUUAGUUUGACACGAUUAAAUUUGGUUGAAUUUUAUAUUUCACUGGUUCCAUUCUACAGUUUCAAAGGUUUUCUUAUAAAAAGAAUGCUUUAAAUGCAAAAUAGGUCUAGUCGUUGGUAUCCAGAAUUGCCCAUAGCACACGUGGCUUUUAUAUUUUACUGUAAAUUGUCAGUUCUUUGAUUUGGUUUUGAUAGCUUUUGAUCAUGCUGUACACUCACUGAAAAGAUGCAACAACGUGUGAUUCUGACAUUGAGUGGAAUGACAGCACAAGCGUAGGUGAUAGUUAUACAGUGUCUUUGACAUGUGGUGAUAAAAUUUGUAUUUUUGUAAGAGUGAACGCCUGUCAAAAAUGCCCAAUACAAUAAAUACAUUUACACAAUUGCUGUGUAUAUGUAAUGGAAUAUGAAUGCUAUGCACCACUCUUAGAACAAUGGGUCACUCUACUUCAUAUGAGCCCACAUCUGCAGGUUUAUAUAGAAUACAUAUUGGUAGAUUCAAAGGAAAUGCUGUAUGACAGGUGUGACAAGUUACUGAGAUCACCUCCUUCAUAAAAGAUUAGGUGUGGUAUGUUUCAUGCAUUAAGGCAUUGGAUGGUUCUGUAUGUGAUUUUGUCAUGCAUGAUUCAGGCUGAGAUGGAAAUCUGAUAUUUACGAGUACAGAAAAAUACACACUGCAUACACAAUGCCUGCAAGCACCAAACAGUGAAUGCAGCAUCUGGGUGAUGGUACCUCUGCGAUGCAUAAAUACAUCAGUCACAUUAGUUUUCAUGUUUAGUCGAGUCUCCACAAUCUGACAGGUUGAGAUGCAUGUAUACAUCCUGAAAAGUAAUCUAAUCAGAGCUUAUUUCAAUCAUUGUCACACACAGUCCAAAGUUUUUUGUUGCCAAUGACAUUUCAUCUGACUUCUUUCACACAACUGAAACCAGUCACAUUAUGCAUGAAGAGUAAUUACGUGGAAGAUA
RNA transcript from Scatophagus argus, 4630 nucleotides. It is a transcript of the gene named lysyl oxidase-like 1, with no coding region annotated. NCBI's taxonomy places the organism in Eukaryota, Metazoa, Chordata, Actinopteri, Scatophagidae. The record is from RefSeq and is a predicted model, not a curated record. The transcript is spliced from 8 exons.